GCGGGGCGUGGUGGCUUGCCUGUGGCCCCAGCUAUUUAGGAGCCUGAAGUGGGAGGAUCGCUUGAGCCCAGCAGUUCUGGGCUGUAGUGCACUAUGCCGAUUGGGUGUCCGCACUAAGUUCCACAUCAAUAUGGUGGCCUCCCGGGAAGGGGGGACCACCAGGUUGCCUAAGGAGGGGCGAACCGGCCCAGGGCAGAAACAGAGCAGGUCAAAACUCCCAUGCUGAUCAGUAGUGGGAUCGCUCCUGUGAAUAGCCACUGUAUUCCAGCCUGGGCAACAUAGCGAGACCCCCAUCUCU
Molecule: signal recognition particle RNA, 298 nt
Filed under: Saimiri boliviensis boliviensis (Bolivian squirrel monkey)
Lineage: Eukaryota; Metazoa; Chordata; Mammalia; Primates; Cebidae
Description: Metazoan signal recognition particle RNA (ENSSBOG00000007619.1)
Rfam family: Metazoan signal recognition particle RNA
About the family: The signal recognition particle (SRP) is a universally conserved ribonucleoprotein. It is involved in the co-translational targeting of proteins to membranes.
Source: Rfam by way of RNAcentral